RNAcentral lists this ribosomal RNA (465 nucleotides) under uncultured Klebsiella sp. RNAcentral's name for it is "bacterial SSU rRNA". It matches the Rfam family "Bacterial small subunit ribosomal RNA", at positions 338 to 795 of the family's 1533-position model. The record is from RNAcentral. Lineage: Bacteria; Pseudomonadati; Pseudomonadota; Gammaproteobacteria; Enterobacterales; Enterobacteriaceae.
CCUACGGGUGGCAGCAGUGGGGAAUAUUGCACACUGGGCGCAAGCCUGAUGCAGCCAUGCCGCGUGUGUGAAGAAGGCCUUCGGGUUGUAAAGCACUUUCAGCGGGGAGGAAGGCGUUAAGGUUAAUAACCUUGUCGAUUGACGUUACCCGCAGAAGAAGCACCGGCUAACUCCGUGCCAGCAGCCGCGGUAAUACGGAGGGUGCAAGCGUUAAUCGGAAUUACUGGGCGUAAAGCGCACGCAGGCGGUCUGUCAAGUCGGAUGUGAAAUCCCCGGGCUCAACCUGGGAACUGCAUUCGAAACUGGCGGGCUAGAGUCUUGUAGAGGGGGGUAGAAUUCCAGGUGUAGCGGUGAAAUGCGUAGAGAUCUGGAGGAAUACCGGUGGCGAAGGCGGCCCCCUGGACAAAGACUGACGCUCAGGUGCGAAAGCGUGGGGAGCAAACAGGAUUAGAUACCCGAGUAGUC